RNAcentral lists this ribosomal RNA (497 nucleotides) under uncultured bacterium. RNAcentral's name for it is "partial 16S ribosomal RNA". It matches the Rfam family "Bacterial small subunit ribosomal RNA", at positions 28 to 507 of the family's 1533-position model. The record is from RNAcentral.
GAUGAACGCUGGCGGCGUGCCUAAUACAUGCAAGUCGAGCGAACAGACGAGGAGCUUGCUCCUCUGACGUUAGCGGCGGACGGGUGAGUAACACGUGGAUAACCUACCUAUAAGACUGGGAUAACUUCGGGAAACCGGAGCUAAUACCGGAUAAUAUAUUGAACCGCAUGGUUCAAUAGUGAAAGACGGUUUUGCUGUCACUUAUAGAUGGAUCCGCGCCGCAUUAGCUAGUUGGUAAGGUAACGGCUUACCAAGGCGACGAUGCGUAGCCGACCUGAGAGGGUGAUCGGCCACACUGGAACUGAGACACGGUCCAGACUCCUACGGGAGGCAGCAGUAGGGAAUCUUCCGCAAUGGGCGAAAGCCUGACGGAGCAACGCCGCGUGAGUGAUGAAGGUCUUCGGAUCGUAAAACUCUGUUAUUAGGGAAGAACAAAUGUGUAAGUAGCUAUGCACGUAUUGACGGUACCUAAUCAGAAAGCCACGGCUAACUACGUG